RNAcentral lists this ribosomal RNA (468 nucleotides) under uncultured bacterium. Its description in RNAcentral is "partial 16S ribosomal RNA". It matches the Rfam family "Bacterial small subunit ribosomal RNA", at positions 28 to 507 of the family's 1533-position model. The record is from RNAcentral.
GACGAACGCUGGCGGCGUGCUUAACACAUGCAAGUCGAACGGAAAGGCCCUGCUUUUGUGGGGUGCUCGAGUGGCGAACGGGUGAGUAACACGUGAGUAACCUGCCCUUGACUUUGGGAUAACUUCAGGAAACUGGGGCUAAUACCGGAUAGGAGCUCCUGCUGCAUGGUGGGGGUUGGAAAGUUUCGGCGGUUGGGGAUGGACUCGCGGCUUUUCAGCUUGUUGGUGGGGUAGUGGCUUACCAAGGCUUUGACGGGUAGCCGGCCUGAGAGGGUGACCGGCCACAUUGGGACUGAGAUACGGCCCAGACUCCUACGGGAGGCAGCAGUGGGGAAUAUUGCACAAUGGGCGGAAGCCUGAUGCAGCAACGCCGCGUGCGGGAUGACGGCCUUCGGGUUGUAAACCGCUUUCGCCUGUGACGAAGCGGGAGUGACGGUAAUGGGUAAAGAAGCACCGGCUAACUACGUG